Molecule: long non-coding RNA, 400 nt
Organism: Saccostrea echinata
Lineage: Eukaryota; Metazoa; Mollusca; Bivalvia; Ostreida; Ostreidae
Exons: 3
Source: RefSeq, a predicted model, not a curated record
AGGAUGUAACCGCUGCUUUACCUCCUUGGGUUGAACGUGUGUCUUCAUGCCCUAUACCAAACAAUUUAUCAGACUGGAUGAGAGCUUCUGUAGCACUCAAUUGCAGUGGUAUGUUAAAUGCAACAAGAAGUAUUGACCUUAAAAAUAUAUACCACUGCAUGCCAAGUAGUUACCUGAAUGAGUCUGUUCAGUUUUGUUCAGACUUUACACUUAUAAAGAACGGAAGCUGUGCUGUGUAUACAUACAUGUAUGCAAAUAAUAAAACUCCAAAUUCCAGGAACUGCACCUUUUUUCUCUCUGGUUGUCCAGAACAAGAAUUUUAUUCUAACAAGUUAUAUAAGUAUAAGUCAUGCUUUGACAUUGAUCCAGAAAGAAAGUGUUACAUCCAGGAUCCAAAAUG